This 368-nucleotide long non-coding RNA is filed under the name Musa acuminata (dwarf banana). RNAcentral describes it as "long non-coding RNA (MACU_LNC005001)". The record is from RNAcentral. Lineage: Eukaryota; Viridiplantae; Streptophyta; Magnoliopsida; Zingiberales; Musaceae.
CGAGCCCAAAUACGACCACCACGUCGCGCACCACGUAGCUCAUCGACCUCCACGGGUCCUUCACCCAGCAAUGCUUGGGUAUGGCCGCUCGAAUCUCAGCCAGCCCGAACGGCGGCGGCAUCCCGGGGUCGAAAGCUGCCUCCUUCCCGUCACUCCCCUUCAAGGAGGGCUCCCCGCUGCCCUCGCCGGACUCCCUCUCAUCCUCCAAGGGCGCCACCUGCAACGGCGCGCUCACGCGGAGCGCCCACUCCCUGCGGCCGCCGAGACCGACGGUGGGGGAGAAGAGGGGCCUCCUCUUCAAGGGCUUGAGGCUAGCGGCGGGUAGGAGGCCGGAGUUGGGGCGACGGAGGGAUGCGGGGAGGGGCCUG